AAGAAGGCCUUCGGGUUGUAAAGCCCUUUUGUUGGGGAAGAAAUCGUACGGUUGAAUAUUCCGUGCGGAUGACGGUACCCAAAGAAUAAGCACCGGCUAACUUCGUGC
RNAcentral lists this ribosomal RNA (108 nucleotides) under uncultured bacterium. RNAcentral's name for it is "partial 16S ribosomal RNA". It matches the Rfam family "Bacterial small subunit ribosomal RNA", at positions 408 to 508 of the family's 1533-position model. The record is from RNAcentral.